UCUUCAUUCCCCAUGCUCUCUCGUCGCUCUGACCGCCGAGAGAGUGUGAGAAAUGAAGAGA
Molecule: non-coding RNA, 61 nt
Organism: Pristionchus pacificus
Lineage: Eukaryota; Metazoa; Nematoda; Chromadorea; Rhabditida; Neodiplogasteridae
Source: Rfam